AUGUAAUUAUCUGUGGACAAUGCUGAUUCACACCACAUAAUAUUUUGCGCUUCCUGUCGUUUUUGGCCCUUCGCUGCCUUCUAAAGAUUUCUGAUCAAUAGUGUAGCUCAAUGAUUACUGUUGUAUCCUCUCUUUUGUGCAAUGCAGUAACUCCUACGCUGCUCACAAUAAAAGGCUUUCCUUGUGUUUGUUUUAAUAUGAAUCAAUUUUCUCCAUUUGCAGAUGAUGAGGAUUCAGUCCAGAAAAGUGUGCGAGGUGGACUUCCUGGCACAGCUGUGGACAAGACCAUAGGUUAUGAUGAAACUCAAAUGGUAAACAAGUUUAUUUAAGUAUACUGCACAAUAUUCUAUUAAUAAAAUGGCAACAUAAAACUGAUAAUAUUAAGAA
This 387-nucleotide long non-coding RNA is filed under the name Gouania willdenowi (blunt-snouted clingfish). RNAcentral's name for it is "lncRNA (ENSGWIG00000017770.1)". Lineage: Eukaryota; Metazoa; Chordata; Actinopteri; Blenniiformes; Gobiesocidae. The record is from RNAcentral.